UCGGGAAUUUUGGGCAAUGGGGGAAACCCUGACCCAGCAACGCCGCGUGAAGGAUGAAGUAUUUCGGUAUGUAAACUUCGAAAGAAUAGGAAGAAUAAAUGACGGUACUAUUUAUAAGGUCCGGCUAACUACGUGCCAGCAGCCGCGGUAAUACGUAGGGACCAAGCGUUGUUCGGAUUUACUGGGCGUAAAGGGCGCGUAGGCGGCAUGACAAGUCACUUGUGAAAUCUCUGGGCUUAACCCAGAACGGCCAAGUGAUACUGUCGCGCUAGAGUGCAGAAGGGGCAAUCGGAAUUCUUGGUGUAGCGGUGAAAUGCGUAGAUAUCAGGAGGAACACCGGUGGCGAAGGCGGGUCUCUGGGCAGUAACUGACGCUGAGGAACGAAAGCGUGGGUAGCGAACAGGAUUAGAUACCCCAGUAGUCCCUGAGCGGGCUGGCAAGGCGCAU
This 447-nucleotide ribosomal RNA is filed under the name uncultured bacterium. Its description in RNAcentral is "bacterial SSU rRNA". It matches the Rfam family "Bacterial small subunit ribosomal RNA", at positions 355 to 825 of the family's 1533-position model. The record is from RNAcentral.